RNAcentral lists this long non-coding RNA (580 nucleotides) under Phoenix dactylifera (date palm). RNAcentral's name for it is "long non-coding RNA (PDAC_LNC017475)". The record is from RNAcentral. Lineage: Eukaryota; Viridiplantae; Streptophyta; Magnoliopsida; Arecales; Arecaceae.
AAAAUCUGACAGAUAGCGUACUUGGGCUGCAAUAACGAUGGCAAGAGAAACCAUCAAUCUUAUUAGAUGCGUCGCUCGGGGUCAAUGAGAGUCUGGGCAAGCUGGCAUUUACUUUCAAGCCAAACUCCAAAGAAGAUCUCAACCAAAAAAAACGAAAAAGGGUCAAGAGCUAAACUAUUUUCUAAGCUUUUCUUAGUUCUCACCUAUUCAUCUUCUCCUCCAAGCGAAUAUUGUGUCAUCUUGAACUUGAGUGUGCCAACUUUAUUCUAGUCAUACAUCAAAUUUCGCUUACACCACUUUUUUCCACCUCCCUGGCAGUACUGUUUACCAUGUCAAGCAAGAGCAGAGUAGGAAAAGGUUAUCCCCUGGCACUUCAUGGUCAAGGUGAAGGAAAGAAUUUGUCCAGGAAGGAACCUCUCUAUGAGAGAAAGUAGGGGCAUUAUGGGAAAUUCACUCCAUCUAAUUAAUAAAAGUCCCAUCCCACCAUCUCCCCUUCAAGUGAGUACCCAAGCAGCCACUGCAACAUCACAGCACAGCAGCCAUUCAAGCCCGCCUCCCUCCUUUUCUUUCUCUACCCUCG